AACGCUCAACGAUGGAUGUCUCGGCUUGGUGUUCGAUGAAGGACGCAGCGAAGUGCGACAAGUGUCAUGACUUGCAGAUUCCCGAGAGCUGACAAAUUUCUGAAUGCAAAUGGCGGCCGCUUCAAAACGGCCAUGUAUUGCAGAGUGUAGUUGCUUGAAGCGCAAUUCAUCUCUCUCUCUCCAUACCAUUAUGGAGGUGAUAAAGAGGAUCUGCGGUUGCGCGUUUUGUUUCAAACCUCCCUCACGGGCAGGACACUUCUUGCGCGGCCGCGAAAACAAGGGCCUCCUCUCUUCCCUUCAUUGGGAUGAGAGGAAAGGACCACCUCGGCGUCCUUAAUUGUACAAUGAAGGUGGUCUGUUUCGUUGCUCUUCAAUUUCCAACAAGCCACCUCUGCGAUGCAGGAGUACCCGCUGAACUUAAGCAUAUCAUUAAGCGGAGGACAAGAAAACAACUGUGAUUCCCCCAGUAACGGCGAGUGAACAGGGAAGAGCCUAAGCUUGAAUCCUCGGUGGAAGGACCCUGAAUCCGAGGAAUUGUAGUGCAAGGGUGUCAGGAGAGGGUUCGCCAGCCCGUCGAAGCGCUCUGGAAAGGGCUAUCCAUGGAGGGCUAUUGUCCCGUACCGAUGUUUGGCGCGGCGGAUCCGCUACCUUCUGGUUCC
RNAcentral lists this unclassified non-coding RNA (659 nucleotides) under uncultured soil eukaryote. RNAcentral describes it as "sequence contains 5.8S rRNA gene, ITS2, 28S rRNA gene". The stretch from base 386 to 659 matches the Rfam family "Eukaryotic large subunit ribosomal RNA", at positions 1 to 258 of the family's 3401-position model. The record is from RNAcentral.